AUUGAACGCUGGCGGCAUGCUUUACACAUGCAAGUCGAACGGUAACAGGCCUUCGGGUGCUGACGAGUGGCGAACGGGUGAGUAAUGCAUCGGAACGUACCCAGAGGUGGGGGAUAACGCAGCGAAAGCUGUGCUAAUACCGCAUGUGAUCUGAGGAUGAAAGCGGGGGACCGCGCAGCAAUGUUUGGCCUCGCGCCUUUGGAGCGGCCGAUGUCGGAUUAGCUAGUUGGUGGGGUAAAGGCCUACCAAGGCGACGAUCCGUAGCUGGUCUGAGAGGACGACCAGCCACACUGGGACUGAGACACGGCCCAGACUCCUACGGGAGGCAGCAGUGGGGAAUUUUGGACAAUGGGCGCAAGCCUGAUCCAGCAAUGCCGCGUGCGGGAAGAAGGCCUUCAGGUUGUAAACCGCUUUUGGCAGGAACGAAACGGUGUCCGCUAAUACCGGGCGCUAAUGACGGUACCUGCAGAAUAAGCACCGGCUAACUACGUG
This 492-nucleotide ribosomal RNA is filed under the name uncultured bacterium. Its description in RNAcentral is "partial 16S ribosomal RNA". It matches the Rfam family "Bacterial small subunit ribosomal RNA", at positions 29 to 507 of the family's 1533-position model. The record is from RNAcentral.